RNAcentral lists this ribosomal RNA (252 nucleotides) under uncultured bacterium. Its description in RNAcentral is "partial 16S ribosomal RNA". It matches the Rfam family "Bacterial small subunit ribosomal RNA", at positions 524 to 776 of the family's 1533-position model. The record is from RNAcentral.
UACGGAGGAUGCAAGCGUUAUCCGGAUUUAUUGGGUUUAAAGGGUGCGUAGGCGGUCCGGAAAGUCAGCGGUAAAAGCCCGGGGCUCAACCCCGGCGAGCCGUUGAAACUGUCGGACUAGAGACGGCGAGAAGUACGCGGAAUGCGCGGUGUAGCGGUGAAAUGCAUAGAUAUCGCGCAGAACUCCGAUUGCGAAGGCAGCGUACCGGCGCCGGACUGACGCUGAGGCACGAAAGCGUGGGUAUCGAACAGG